CUUCCGGGUCACGGAAUUUAAGGCAUUUUCUGAGUAGAGCGUUGUAGGAAUUGUGUUGUGAAUGCAUAGUUUAUGCACUACUCAAGAUACACAAGUAUAGUUUUGUAGUGUUCAGUAGGAAAACAGUAGUAUUUACAGUAGUAAUCAGGCUAUUCCGUUACGAUGUCUCCGAAGAACCAUCUGCUAGCCCCGGCCCUCUAGCUUUCUGAACCCCGUGUCCACUCGCCUGACUCACCUAUUGCUGUUCAUUGGACCCUUUGAUCACUCGGCUACACAGCUGAUGCCCCCUGGACUGUUUCAAUAACACGGCCGGUGGUAGCUGGUCCGCUGCAGGACGCUGAGGUGCGGGAGGUCCCCCCGCCCCCCUUGGAC
Salmo salar (Atlantic salmon) is the source of this 372-nucleotide long non-coding RNA. RefSeq lists it as uncharacterized. The record is from RefSeq and is a predicted model, not a curated record. NCBI's taxonomy places the organism in Eukaryota, Metazoa, Chordata, Actinopteri, Salmoniformes, Salmonidae.